GAGUUUGAUCCUGGCUCAGAACGAACGUUAGCGGCGCGCCUAAGACAUGCAAGUCGAGCGAGAAAGGGCUUCGGCCCCGGUAAAGCGGCGCACGGGUGAGUAACACGUAGGUAAUCAACCCUCGAGUGGUGGACAACUCUCCGAAAGGAGAGCUAAUACAGCAUGACGGGGCGGCUUUCCGAAGCCGUUUCCAAAGCGGGCCUCUUCACGAAAGCUCGCGCUUGGGGAUGAGCCUGCGGCCCAUCAGCUAGUUGGAGGGGUAACGGCCCACCAAGGCAAAGACGGGUAGCUGGUCUGAGAGGAUGAACAGCCACACUGGAACUGAGACACGGUCCAGACUCCUACGGGAGGCAGCAGUCGGGAAUCUUCCGCAAUGGGCGCAAGCCUGACGGAGCGACGCCGCGUGAGCGAUGAAGGCC
Molecule: ribosomal RNA, 419 nt
Filed under: uncultured delta proteobacterium
Lineage: Bacteria; Deltaproteobacteria
Description: bacterial SSU rRNA
Rfam family: Bacterial small subunit ribosomal RNA
Source: RNAcentral